UACGGGGGGGGCAAGCGUUGUUCGGAAUUACUGGGCGUAAAGGGCUCGUAGGUGGCCAACUAAGUCAGACGUGAAAUCCCUCAGCUUAACCGGGGAACUGCGUCUGAUACUGGAUGGCUUGAGAUUGGGAGAGGGAUGCGGAAUUCCAGGUGUAGCGGUGAAAUGCGUAGAUAUCUGGAGGAACACCGGUGGCGAAGGCGGCAUCCUGGACCAACACUGACGCUGAGGAGCGAAAGCCAGGGGAGCAAACGGG
This 253-nucleotide ribosomal RNA is filed under the name uncultured bacterium. RNAcentral's name for it is "partial 16S ribosomal RNA". It matches the Rfam family "Bacterial small subunit ribosomal RNA", at positions 524 to 776 of the family's 1533-position model. The record is from RNAcentral.